This is a long non-coding RNA of Oryzias latipes (Japanese medaka), 578 nucleotides long. RefSeq lists it as uncharacterized. The record is from RefSeq and is a predicted model, not a curated record. Lineage: Eukaryota; Metazoa; Chordata; Actinopteri; Beloniformes; Adrianichthyidae.
CUUUGUGACUUUCUGCACCUCUAUGAUAAACAGCAAGAGCAGACUGCUGAUGUCAAAGGUACUCCUGUCCUGUACUGGCUUCCCAUAUACAAACGUGAGGAGGACCCACAGUUCUUCAAAGUUUGGAAUAUUAGUCACCAGAGGCAGACAUCAGCAGCACCUCUGUUGGCAUUCUGACCGUCAGCAACAACAAUACAAGUUCAGUUCAUAUCUGUCCGCUCAGUACAGCAGUUGUGGUGGAAGAUGAGCUUGUGGUAGGCGACAUUCCUAAAUGGGUAUUUUUUGGAGCGCUAAUGUUUGUAGGGAAAGGGCAGACUAAGAAAAUACAGUUUUAUGUGGGAAAAGGGUACACAAUUUUUGCUUUUCUUGAAAUGUAAGAAUGCUCUUUUUUAUAAAGUUGUAUAAGGAAAUGGUGUAAAAAAGAUUGGUGCUCAUUUUUUGCUUUUCUUGAAGACUGAUUUUUUUUAUGGCUUGUGCACUUUUUUUUACACAAAUUGUGCAGGGUUUUACACUUUCUAGUACCAUAAGUUGUUCAAAUGUACUUUUGUAAGGUGGUUCAAAAAUAAACUUGCAAUUGC